GUUCUCCCUGACCCUUUAAGGGUCCUGAAGGAACGUUGAAGACGACGACGUUGAUAGGCCGGGUGUGUAAGCGCAGCGAUGCGUUGAGCUAACCGGUACUAAUGAACCGUGAGGCUUAACCUUACAACGCCGAAGGUGUUU
RNAcentral lists this ribosomal RNA (141 nucleotides) under Shigella flexneri. RNAcentral's name for it is "partial 23S ribosomal RNA". The stretch from base 1 to 123 matches the Rfam family "Bacterial large subunit ribosomal RNA", at positions 2808 to 2925 of the family's 2925-position model. RNAcentral also lists the same sequence under 1 other name. Lineage: Bacteria; Pseudomonadati; Pseudomonadota; Gammaproteobacteria; Enterobacterales; Enterobacteriaceae. The record is from RNAcentral.